CCUACGUGGUGCAGCAGUGGGGAAUAUUGGACAAUGGGCGAAAGCCUGAUCCAGCCAUGCCGCGUGUGUGAAGAAGGCCUUCGGGUUGUAAAGCACUUUCAGUGGGGAAGAAAGCCUUGGGGCUAAUACCCUCGAGGAAGGACAUCACCCACAGAAGAAGCACCGGCUAACUCCGUGCCAGCAGCCGCGGUAAUACGGAGGGUGCGAGCGUUAAUCGGAAUUACUGGGCGUAAAGCGCGCGUAGGCGGUCUGAUAAGCCGGUUGUGAAAGCCCCGGGCUCAACCUGGGAACGGCAUCCGGAACUGUCAGGCUAGAGUGCAGGAGAGGAAGGUAGAAUUCCCGGUGUAGCGGUGAAAUGCGUAGAGAUCGGGAGGAAUACCAGUGGCGAAGGCGGCCUUCUGGACUGACACUGACGCUGAGGUGCGAAAGCGUGGGUAGCAAACAGGAUUAGAUACCUAGUAGUC
This 464-nucleotide ribosomal RNA is filed under the name Vreelandella stevensii. RNAcentral describes it as "partial 16S ribosomal RNA". It matches the Rfam family "Bacterial small subunit ribosomal RNA", at positions 338 to 795 of the family's 1533-position model. The record is from RNAcentral. Lineage: Bacteria; Pseudomonadati; Pseudomonadota; Gammaproteobacteria; Oceanospirillales; Halomonadaceae.